This 506-nucleotide ribosomal RNA is filed under the name uncultured bacterium. RNAcentral's name for it is "partial 16S ribosomal RNA". It matches the Rfam family "Bacterial small subunit ribosomal RNA", at positions 29 to 523 of the family's 1533-position model. The record is from RNAcentral.
AGUGAACGCUGGCGGUAGGCCUAACACAUGCAAGUCGAACGGCAGCACAGGAGAGCUUGCUCUCUGGGUGGCGAGUGGCGGACGGGUGAGGAAUACAUCGGAAUCUACUCUGUCGUGGGGGAUAACGUAGGGAAACUUACGCUAAUACCGCAUACGACCUACGGGUGAAAGCAGGGGACCUUCGGGCCUUGCGCGAUUGAAUGAGCCGAUGUCGGAUUAGCUAGUUGGCGGGGUAAAGGCCCACCAAGGCGACGAUCCGUAGCUGGUCUGAGAGGAUGAUCCGCCGCACUGGAACUGAGACACGGUCCAGACUCCUACGGGGGGCAGCAGUGGGGAAUAUUGGACAAUGGGCGCAAGCCUGAUCCAGCCAUACCGCGUGGGUGAAGAAGGCCUUCGGGUUGUAAAGCCCUUUUGUUGGGAAAGAAAUCCAGCUGGCUAAUACCCGGUUGGGAUGACGGUACCCAAAGAAUAAGCACCGGCUAACUUCGUGCCAGCCGCCGCCGUAA